UAACUGGAGAGUUUGAUCCUGGCUCAGAACGAACGUUAGCGGCGCGCCUAACACAUGCAAGUCGUGCGAGAAAGGGCUUCGGCCCCGGU
This 89-nucleotide ribosomal RNA is filed under the name Polyangium sp. y55x31. Its description in RNAcentral is "partial 16S ribosomal RNA". It matches the Rfam family "Bacterial small subunit ribosomal RNA", at positions 1 to 91 of the family's 1533-position model. The record is from RNAcentral. Lineage: Bacteria; Pseudomonadati; Myxococcota; Polyangiales; Polyangiaceae.